AUGUCAUUAGAUUGUUUCGUCCAUGUGUACAAGUAUGAAAAGGAACUCGAAAAGGUCACGAGUUUCAAAGCUCACGAUUAUUAUAACAGUGCCGUGUGUUCAUUAGACGUUCAUCCAACCCAGCCAUAUGUGCUGUCAGGAAGUCAUGCGCAAAUAAAGCUUUGGGACUGGGACCAGGACUGGAAUUGCAUACAGACAUUUGAAGAACACUUCUCUUAUAUUAAUGAACUGAAAUUUAUCCCAGAGGACAUCAACAGUUUUGCAAGUGCGUCAGAUGAUGAUAGUACAGUAAAGGUUUGGAGUCUUGAUUCUCCCAAAUUCAAAUAUACUCUGCCUGGGCAUUCGGAUACCGUGAAGUGCCUGGAUUUCUUCAAGCGUGAUGCUCAGCAGUAUUUGAUUAGUGGCUCCUAUGACAAGACUGCCAAGAUAUGGGACUUGCAGAAGAAGGAGUGUGUUCAUACACUCGAACAUGAGUCUGCAGUCUAUUCCGUCUUUGCCCAUCCCAGUCUUCCCGUUCUAAUUACAGGUGGUGAUGAUCGUGCUGUUCGUGUGUGGAGCUCCACUGAUUUCAGGCUGAAGACAAAGCUGGCCAGUAUGCGGGUUCGUGGUUUCGCAUGUUUGACGGCGUCAGCAAGGGUUGCAGUUGCGUACUCUGAUGGAGUGUCGGCGAUGGAAAUUUGA
This 681-nucleotide ribosomal RNA is filed under the name Triticum aestivum (bread wheat). RNAcentral's name for it is "partial small subunit ribosomal RNA". The record is from RNAcentral. Lineage: Eukaryota; Viridiplantae; Streptophyta; Magnoliopsida; Poales; Poaceae.